RNAcentral lists this long non-coding RNA (1341 nucleotides) under Gopherus agassizii (Agassiz's desert tortoise). Its description in RNAcentral is "lncRNA (ENSGAGG00000024534.1)". Lineage: Eukaryota; Metazoa; Chordata; Testudines; Testudinidae. The record is from RNAcentral.
AUGACACGUGUAGCUGCCUGGCUUAUUCGUGCACAGCUGAUCACAAUAGCUUUGCUCACACUCAUCAAUAUCAACACACAUCUUUGUACUACCAUUGUAGUGAUCCAGAACAAAGCCAUCGGGGCAGUAGCAGGUAUCCUGUGUAUGCGGAUCACAGUCUGCUGGGCAUUCAGUCUGGUUGCAAAAUUGGACACAUUUGUUGGGGUCCUGGGGGGAUGGGGCGUAUCCGCUGAAGCAGCUGCACUUGUAACCCCCGGGGACAUCAACACACCAGUGGUGACAUUUCUCUUCGUAGCAAUCGAUCACGUCCUCACAUUUGCCCUCCACCAGCUCAUAGCCCGAGUGGCACUGGCAGCGGAAGCCCCCGUCGGUGUUGAUGCACACUUGGUCACAAAGGUCCGGUUUGGUUUUACAGUCAUCGAUGUCUCUGCAGCUGAUGCCAUCCUCAGACAGCUCAUAGCCCUCGUGGCACAUGCAAGUGAAGUUCACGGUGAGUGGGAUGCAGUGGUGCUCGCAGGGGGCGUUGGCACACAGGGAAGAGCAGCUGCGUUGGUCCUGGUCCAGCUGCUUCCCAUGGGGGCAGGUGCAGCGCGGGGUCCCGCCAUCCCACUGGCACGAAGCCUCGCACCCGCCAUUCUCCAGCUGGCAGAGCCAGGCCCCGGGGCUGACGGAGCUCCACCGCAUGCCCCCGCUGCUGUGCUCCUGGCACACCAGCUCCACGCCCAGGGCCGGGACCGAGGCAGUGGUUUGGGGAGGGAGGACCAGGAGGUCACUGUCCUGCGCCCCGAAGGGGGUGGUGUAGGUCACCGCCACGCCUGCCCCGGGGGAGAGCUUGGGGCACGUGCCGGGGUAACUGUACUCACACAGGAAGCCGUCUGCUUCGGAGUCACACCGCUUCUCCUCCCAAGUGAGCUCCGGGGCCGCCACGGAGACACAUUGGGACCCGCAGACGCGGCCGCCCGGCCUCCAUCGGGUGUAGUCCGUGCGCUCGUCGCCCGUGACCCAGCGGAACCCCCGCAGCGGGCGGGCGGGGUCCGAGCACGCCUGGCCCGCGGGCAGCUGCAGCCCGAUCCACAGGCUGGCGUCGCUCCGGUUCCGCACCAGCAGGGCGAUGGCGGCCUCCGCCACCGUGGAGCGCACCGUCAUGAGCUGCCCCCCGCCGGCCUGGCAGAGCCGGCCGGCGCCGGGGAACCGCUGGCGCCCCCAGAACACGCCGAAGCAGACGUGCUCGAGGCACUGAACGCCCGCGGGCUGCGGCGGGGCGGGAGCCGAGCGCCCGAGCUGGGCCGUGGCCACCAGCGCCAGGCAGAGCCGCAGCAUGGUGCGGGGCGGCGGAGCUGA